AUGACUAUGUGGGGAUGCAGCAGCAAAGCAUGCACAGAGGCCUUCCCCACCCAGGUCAGGCCAGCCACAUGCUUAGCUACAGCGCCUAGAAGCAGAGGAGUUCUGGAGCCAACUCCAACACAGGGUAACAUUCACAGCAGCAGCGGCGGCAACAACCCCUACAGGAAGGACGCUAUGGAUUAUUAUUUUUCAAUGGGUGGAAAGGACAGACACAGACGAGGAGGGAUGAGUUAUGGCGGAGGUUUUGGGUAUCCCGGUAUUGAUGGGCAUGUAUCCCACCAGUACCGGCACCCUGGACCUAGUUCUGCCCCGUCUUCUGGCCUGAUGUCGCCUUAUCCAGUAGACUACGGUUCAAGUGCUGGAUCAGGCGGAGGUGCAGGAGCUUUCUCUCCUUCUCAUCAGUACAGUAUGAAUCAGAGCCCGUCGAUGCAGCCAGGAGCUCAGAUGUCGCACCGCCAGAAUUUCCCUGCUGUCCACCACGGACAGCAGCAUCGCAGCUAUCCACACUCCGGGCACAGGAUGACCCCGCAGUACCCACAGUACUCUCCACAGGGUGGAGCCUCCACAGGGUCGUCAGGAAUGUAUAGCCCUCCUCUUCAGCGGUAUCUGGAUGGAGCUGCUGCCACUGGCUUUGAUCCCAAAGUCAACAGCUCUCCCAGUGUCAACUCGAGCCUAAACUCUGUGUCAAGUUCAGUUGCUGCUAACAAUGUGGGGCUAACGGAGACUGUUCCGCAGAGUUACCACGCUUCAAACUAUCCAGGAUAUUCCCCACAGUCACUCCACAAACAAGCCACGCUACAGCACCGCAACUCGCAGCACAGUUUAGGUCCAGCUUACGACAACCCUCUCAAAAUGCAGCACCAGGGUCCAUCUCCAAGCUCUGCUUAUGCAAAGCAUCAUCAAGCCUCUAAUGCCAGUAUAAGCCAACCAGCAUCUCAAGAAAUGGUAAAAUCCCCAAUGAAUCCCAACUCACAGCAAACCCAGAUUAACCAAAACUUCAGCCCAAUCUCCAACCCCUCCCCAGCUGCCUCUGCAUUGCAUUCACCAAGCUGUAGCUCCUCUCCAUCCCCAUUGAUGGGGAUUUCAGACGCACACGGAAACCCCCCGGGUCUCAGCUCUUCACAUCCUUCUUCGUCAAACCCUCGUAGCAGCCAUAGUCAAGGUAGAUUACUGCAGACUAUGCCUCAGUUGAGCCCCACACCCAACUCCAAUAGCAGCAUCAGUAGUUCUGGUAGUAGUGGCAGCCAUAAAGCUCACAGCGUGAAUUCCAUCGGAGGCAGCAAUCUUCCUCCAACUGGUCGCAACAAAAUGAGUCAAGGCGCGGGGAUCACAUCCCGCGAGGAGUACUCGGCUUCCGCGCUUGAUAAAAUGCAAGAUGCCGGUCUGAAUAGUCUUAAUGCCUUGAGCUCACAAGUAGCCAAUAUACCAAACACUGUUCAGCACAUGCUCCUCACGAACACAGUGCUCUCACAAAAGAAGAAAGAUGUGGGACAGAUGCAUCAGGCCACACACGCUGCUCCGCAGUCCCAACCGAGGAGUCGAAAUGAAAGUGUUGCCUCGAGUGCCAGCACAGUCAAAGACGGAAGCGUAGUCGGGACCUCUGAUGGCGCCACCCUUGAUGUCGGUGUUGAUGAAGACUCUUCUUUAGCGUCAGGUGGAGCCUCAUCAGGGACCAAAAUGGAACGAGAAGAGCAGCUUUCUGAGGGAGAGCAUCAGAGAGUGAGGCAGAUGAGCGGUGCGAGCAGUGGUGGGAACAGCCGGUCUUGCUAUAAAUAUCAAGGCACGCACGACAGCCGGAAUUAA
Molecule: long non-coding RNA, 1803 nt
Filed under: Oryzias javanicus (javanese ricefish)
Lineage: Eukaryota; Metazoa; Chordata; Actinopteri; Beloniformes; Adrianichthyidae
Description: lncRNA (ENSOJAG00000005267.1)
Source: RNAcentral